RNAcentral lists this ribosomal RNA (468 nucleotides) under uncultured bacterium. RNAcentral's name for it is "partial 16S ribosomal RNA". It matches the Rfam family "Bacterial small subunit ribosomal RNA", at positions 28 to 507 of the family's 1533-position model. The record is from RNAcentral.
GAUGAACGCUGGCGGCGUGCCUAAUACAUGCAAGUCGAACGGAAAGGCUUUGCUAUCGUGUGGUGCCCGAGUGGCGAACGGGUGUGUAACACGAGAGUAACCUGCCCAUGACUGUGGGAUAACUACAGGAAACGGGGGAUAAUACCGGAUAGGAGCUCAUGCCGCAUGGUGGUGGUUGGAAAGUUUCGGCGGUUGGGGAUGGACUGGCGGUUUAUCAGCUUGUUGGUGGGGUAGUGGCUUACCAAGGCGGUGACGGAUAGCCGACCUGAGAGCGUGACCGGCCACAAUGGGACUGAGGUACGGACCAGAAGCCUACGGGAGGCAGCGGUCGAGAGUAUGACACAGUAGGCGGGAGCCUGAUGCAGCAACGCCGCGUGCGGAAUAACGGCCUUCGGGUUGUGAACCGCUUUCGCCUGUACCGUAGCGUGAGUGACGGUAAUGGGUAAGGAAGCACCGGCUAACUACGUG